This 779-nucleotide ribosomal RNA is filed under the name uncultured Neocallimastigales. RNAcentral describes it as "partial large subunit ribosomal RNA". It matches the Rfam family "Eukaryotic large subunit ribosomal RNA", at positions 22 to 639 of the family's 3401-position model. Lineage: Eukaryota; Fungi; Neocallimastigomycota; Neocallimastigomycetes; Neocallimastigales. The record is from RNAcentral.
UAGAUGCGAGAGUAGAGCAUAUCAAUAAGCGGAGGAAAAGAAACUAACAAGGAUUCCCUUAGUAACGGCGAGUGAAGCGGGAAGAGCUCAAAUUUGAAAUCUUCAAGGUUCUACCUUGACGAAUUGUAGUUUAUAGAAGUGUUUUCUGUUAGUAGAGUGGUAAAAGUUCUUUGGAAUAGGACAUCAUAGAGGGUGAGAAUCCCGUAUUUGGAUCAUUUCUUUCUCAGCUUUGUGAUACACUUUCAAAGAGUCGGAUUGUUUGGGAAUGCAGUCCAAAAUGGGUGGUAAAUUUCAUCUAAAGCUAAAUAUUGGCGAGAGACCGAUAGCGAACAAGUACCGUGAGGGAAAGAUGAAAAGAACUUUGAAAAGAGAGUUAAACAGUACGUGAAAUUGUCAAAAGGGAAGCGUUUGACACCAGUGUUGUUUUUCCGAAAAUCAAUUACGAAUGUUUUGUUUUUGAGGAGUUAUGACUUCAUCGGCUUGCUCCUUUCUUUAUGAAACUUUCUUAAUGCACUUUUCGGUUAACAAGUCAACAUCAAUUUCUUUUGUUGUAAAAGGGUAUGAGGAAGGUGGCUUUCUUUUCGGAGAAAGUGUUUAUAGCCUUGUGACCUCUGCAAUCGGAGAGAUUGAGGUCUGCAGCGUAGAUCCUUCGGGGUUAGAUACAGUUUGUGCUAAGUUAUAGCUUUUCAUAGACAACUUGUUGACUAUGUUUAGUCUUGUAGCUUACUCGCUUAUGCUAUUUUACCUACGCUUAGGAUGUUGACGCGCGUGUGUGCGUG